Molecule: ribosomal RNA, 253 nt
Filed under: uncultured bacterium
Lineage: Bacteria
Description: partial 16S ribosomal RNA
Rfam family: Bacterial small subunit ribosomal RNA
Source: RNAcentral
UACAUGGGGUGCAAACGUUGCUCGGAAUCAUUGGGCGUAAAGCGUGUGUAGGCGGAUUUGUAAGUACCUUGUGAAAUCCCACGGCUUAACCGUGGAACUGCUCGGUAUACUGCGAAUCUUGGGCCAUCUAGGGGCGAGCGGAACAAGUGGUGGAGCGGUGAAAUGCGUAGAUAUCGUUUGGAACGCCAACGGUGAAAACAGACAGCUGGGAGUGUGCUGACGCUGAGACACGAAAGCCAGGGGAGCGAACGGG